AAUGUGUCAAAGCAGAUUCAGCUUCUUGGUGUUUAAGUUAAGUUCAUAAUUUCUGCUUGUUCCUUCUGUCUCCUGCAACCAACCAUUACGCUGUAUUUGAGUCUCCAUUGAGUUGUCGACAUUUCAUGAAAUAUCCAUCAAUUUGGACAUUAUUGGAUCAUACAUACGCCUGCCUGGCAUCCAGACUAACCAACAGAGAUGGAGAUUUCCACCACAUGGCACUGGAUUGACACUCCAAAACAGUCCUGUGGUUGGCAACAUCCUUUAAGUCCCAACAAUUUUUUUAGACAUAGCCUAGGUUUUAUAGAGCAGUAGUGUAUUUUUACACAGGUCCUUUACUUGUCUGUUGCUAGGAUAUUGUUCAUUUUGACAUGAUGUUUCCAUCCAUACUAAAUAUAUAUACAGUGUGCGGUGUGUGAAUGGAUUAUACAAGUUUGACUUUGAGAUUUAACACAAUAAUACUUAAGCACCUAUAUCUACUGAUCAUCAGGCUGCAUCCAUGAAUGCUAUUCCUUCAUUGUUAUGUUGCAUGUCAGUGUUCGCAAACCAUGUGACAGCUCUGUGACCUGUUUUAAUAUAUAUGUAGCCGACAUAUUGAUGUCAUUUGUAACUUUGGAUCAUUCCAUCUGUGUGACCUAGUCGGAGUGAAAGCUCCAACGUUUGGUCAGAAUGACAAUCAUCUCACUUAUCAGCUGCCCGUUGAUGGUUGUCCAGACAUGACGCUCCUAUUUCCUCCUGACCCAGUUUCAGAGUUUGCUUUGGAUGCAGCUUGUGGUUUACUGUGUCAACCCACUGCAUGUGGAUGCCAUAAAUGUGUGAUUUAUGAUGGACCCAUGUAGACUGCAGCUCCGGCUCAGCUUUGUGUUAAACUUGCACAAGUCCUAAAUAAGUACCUGAUUUUACUGUGUGGUCUGUAAAAAGCAGGAUAGAGCUGCUGCGUAUUGUAUGUGUACCUCUACGUCUCUAGGCCAAACCUCGAUGAUGAUAUUUUUUAACAGAGCUCAGUCUGUAACUCAGGAAACUUGGAGCUGUUAAAAGAUAUGGUUUUAAUCUGUUUUCUAAAUGUUUCAGAGUGAUCGUCAUAAGCUGUAAUAGAGCACCUACACGCGAAAUGUGUUGUUUGCUUUCUGUGAGACACAGUCUUGUCUGUUGUGUAUCAGGGCCGCGGUUCAGACGUUGGCUGGAAGUGCGAGUCGGACCCGCAGCCAGGAGAGAAGGUCCUGCAGGAUAGAAAGGAGAGGAGAGGGCUGGAGAGGCAGCUCCAAGAGAUCCAACAGCAGCUGGAGAUCCUGGGCCAGAGCCCAGAGAUGACUAACGAGUCUUCAGACCUCACGAAGGAGGAGUUACUCAGACUGCUGGAGGAAUGUGAGCUGACUGAGUGUUGGAGCCCACAGCUGGAGACGACUGACAUGACAUGAUGAUCUGAAGCCUUUUUAUCAGAUAGUCCGUCUAAAAUAUGACGUCCUUGCUGGGACGUCAGGAGACACAUGUAACAGCUUUAAGAUUUAUGGAGAUAUAACUAACAUGUCUUAUAGCCAUUUACAUAAAAUGACAAAGAACAAACAUGAUUCACGAUGUGUCAGUGUUAGUAAAAUGAAAGUUCGAACUUUUGGUUAAAUGACAAAUUAGGCUUGAGAAAACAUAUUUUUAUCCUAAUUGGCGUUUUCAUCAUAUUGUUAUAAUUACUAGUUUUCAGGAACCAAGAUUUUGCAGAUCUCAGGUGAAUAAAAAAAACAGGAGGUUCUGUUGAGUUUUCAAAAAAUUGCAAAAAACUUCCAAGGCCUGGCAGAAAAACAGACGGUGGUGUGAGCACAGGAGAGAUGAGGUGAGCAGCAAUCUAAAUCUAAAAGUCACCAAAAUAUUAAUAGCAAGGGUCGAAAACACAGAGUCCAGAGCUUGAUUACCUUGUGGGAAAACAGAAGAUGACACCACAGAGUUUUAUGGAACAGGAAUUGGGUGAAGUAGCGAGCCAGAUUGAUAUCAGCUGUAGGGGAGAGCGGGGUAAUGUGGGAUAUUUUUUUUUUACACAGCAUUUGUCCCACUUUACCCCACAGCCACCGUUUUAGAAAAAACAACAUCUCUUAGCAUUUCAGGCUAAUCUUCAGCUAGCAUCGAUCACAGUUUUGUAUGUUGGAAGUUCACCAACAUGUAUGAUGUAAGUUUUUCUACCUGAUUCAAUUUGUUUUGACACAACAGUUGAUUAAGUUCAAAGCAAGACAAUUUACUUUUACAUGCAAAAAACUAAUUUUUGUGAAAAAAUAUACUUUCCACAGCACCAGCACUAACUUCUCCUUCAUGGCAAGGGGGGAAUGGGAGGGGCUUGAAAACAUAAUGGUCAAAUGACCACAAAUGUGUUCCGUUGCCUAGAUACAGGGGUGUCUCACAUUACCCAAUGUCCCACAUUACCCCGCUCUACCCUACUUGAUAAUGAGGAGGGAUAACUCGGGUAGGAGGAGGGUGACCUAGCCACGCCCUGGAAAACAAACUCAGGAGAUACAGAGAUUUGCUUUUUUCAAGAAAUUGUACUUUCUUGAUCCUUGUUGUUCUGGGUCUUUAACCUCGUGGUUCAAUGCACUUUGUAAGUUGCUUCGGAUAAAAGCGUCCGCUAAAUGUAAUGUAAUGUAAUGUAAUGUAAUACAGGGAAGGAGUAAAGAAAAACACAACAGCCAGGAGAGGAUGGAGAGUCAUGCUGCCAGAUCCUAACAUAUACAGCUGCAUUGCCUUCUGUUGUUAUAUUGCAUGUUGACAUAUUGGCCUAUGUGUGUGGACAAAGUUACUCAACAACAUACGGAUAGAUUUUGAACAGAUUGGUGGAAACAGUACUUGGGUGGGUAAAAUAUUGAAUGGUGAAAGUUCAAGGUCAACAAAAAUAUGAUCUGAAAAACAAUUAUUAGGGAAACCCAAGAAGAAGUCAAAUGGCAUUUGUUCAAAAAAGCAUAUUUGGAAGUAUCUCUGCAUCCUGUAUGAGCCGAGGCUUAUAUUGCUCAGAAAUGUAUUCCCCAUCAUGCGUCAUAUGAUAAGUGACAUCAUGAACAAAUCACAAAGAAGUCCAAUGUAGUUCAAAAGUAAAUUUUCUCAAAUAUCUGCAUCCUACUGAGCUAUUGACACGACCCAAAGAAAAAUAUAGAUAUACAAUUAUUUUUGAUGACAUGGUAGGAAUGACAUCACCAUGACAUCCCUAUGAAGUCAGAAAAUGAUAUCAUAUAGCGUAGAAAUUAUUUAACCUUUGCAACAAAUAAGAUAUGGUAGAGAAUCUUAUUUAUUAUAACAUUCAUCAUCUCAUGGUCGUAAUGAAAUCAAAAUGACAUCAUGAUGAAAUGCUAUUAUUACAAAAGAUUAAAUAGUUUCACCUGAUCGGGUUGUAUACAGUGCGAAUGCAUGAUUUGUAUUUGCUUUUAUUUCUCGAGGACAAAGAGCAGCUGGGCCACACUUUGUAAAAUAAAAGUAUCAUAGAGGAGAACAGCAAAUUACUGUCAUUAAACCUAACAUCUCACCACAGAAUGUUCUCCUGCAAACAGAAAUAUUAGCCUAAAACAGUGUCUGUGGGGUCAAGUCUAGGCAUGAAAUAUAGUACUGCGUGUUGGUAACGUGUGUUCAGACAUCCAGCGAGGCUGUUAAUCAGGAUGUAUGCUCCACAUGAGUGAUACUCACAUCCACUUUAGCUCCUGCUGUUCCUGCCAUUCCCACCUCUAUAGGUGAUCUGCUUAACUGUGGGCCAGAUUAGUAGGAUCUUCCGCUGACAAACGAUUUCUAUAGCUCUAAAAAUCAUCCCCUUUAGUUUGUUUUGGAGAUUUGCUGAAGCUGCCCAGACAGUUCCUAUUUGUUCCUGCUUGCGCGGCGCAAGCCGCUGGUCUGCACCUGGCUGACCUCAGCCCAGAUGUCACGCCUCUCCUCUCUCCUGGCACUCCGGACACCUACGGGCCCAUUCGUCUCACUCUUCACCUCAGCCACACAUUCUGACCCCAUCUAACAGACAGGAAUUAGCUCACAUUCCUCCGGAUUGAAAACACGUCAGCCAGGUGAGCCCUCCAAGGUCAAACCUAGAUGAGAGGCCUGCUAUCGCUAUCUGUCCAGGAAUCUAAACAGACGCCCCUGCACACGUCUGACCGAGCGGUCACUUUUCAGAAUGACCACACCCGGUCAGACUUGAGUUUUAUACAAAUUCCGUAUGUUUGUAACGCCUUCAUUCACACAUUAGUCCCCAUUUUACAAACACCAUCCAUGUCAUCGAUGUGAUAUAUUUUAAGGAGGACAGAUAUUCUGCUCAUUAUGGGUAAUGGAAACACAGUGAGCUCAGAAUGGUAAGAAUGAGGUCACUUCUAAUGUAAAGAGACUGGCGGCAUACUGAGACUGUUUGGGUUUUCGGUCAUGACCCUCACUGGUGCCUUAGAUUACAGCCUUUUCUGGCCCUGGGGAAGAUCUAAAUUAGCAUCACAGUCAGUGAACUGCUGAUACCUCAUCUGUGGUGUUUUGACAAGUUUUAUUCCACAAUGCACAUUCUCACUGGCAUGAGUUGGGACCACAGCCACGAAUGGAAAUUCUGCCCCACAAGAAGCAUGCAAAACUCCUCAUGUGUUCGUUUCCCAUGGAUUGUGUCUUUUGAAGGUGUAAGGAGAUGCCAUGUGUCGUGUGUAAUCACAUAUCUUUAUGGAUGUGCCGUUUAAGUGGGUUAUACUUCAUGUUGAGUUUUCCUGCUGCUGACUACCGAGGAUACUCCCUCUAUCCAAGGCUUCAGCAGACUCAGCUAAUGGGAUCUAGUCACUCGACAAAGUGUGGCUUGGCCCCCAUUGCUUUUCAACGUACGAAAACUUCAGUCAAAGUGGAUAUGACUAACUCUCAGACUUUUUUUUGCCCCUCAAAAAGUCACAGAUUGUCCAAGAAACUUAGUAAGUGUUUAUUGUUCACUUGACAUUAGAAAAUAACAGGUAGGAAUAUAAACAGCACUUAGGGUAGAAACUAUGAACAUAAACAACGUUUAUAGAAAAGCUUCACUAAUAAUUAAAAAAAGACGUACAAAAAAAACGAAAUAACAAAGACAUCCUCAUGUCAGUGUGCAAAUAAGUUUAUACAGACAGAAACGCUUCCAUAUGAGGCUACGCUUCUAGAUAAAUUAUUUAAAUAGCAUAUAUCUACACAAAUGAAAUAACCUCAACAUAAAACAAACACAAUAAUUUAUCCCCAAAAAAAUGCACAGGAAAUACGUACAGCACAUCAUUUGUUUUAAUCCUUUACGUUCCUGUUUGGGCUUCUCUUGCUACAAAAAUAUCUUAUAUACAGCAUAUGAAUGAUACUAAAGUCUUGCUUAAAAAACAAAGAAGCCAACCAAUUUAUACUCUGCUGCUUAGAAAUGUGAUUCUUGUGUAUUGCUGGCCUCAAUACAGAAAGAAUUAAUGAGGUAAUAUUUGUACAUAAAGGGUUUCAUUUGAUUUUCCCUCGUCAGAAAUGUACACACAAGCUCAGGCACACCAGUCAUGCACACUGUGCAGAAGCAACAAAUGGCGAUAUUGAUAUAUCUAACUGUUUUGGUCACAUGUAAUGCUUUAUCUUACAUGUGAAUAGGGAUUUCAUUUACUUGGUUGCUAAUAACAUUCUAAGAUGGCAAGGUGCAAAGAUGAACGAGAAUUAAAGCCUCUAUGAUGAAUACGUAAAUACAAACAUC
Long non-coding RNA from Platichthys flesus (European flounder), 5659 nucleotides. RefSeq lists it as uncharacterized. The transcript has 2 exons. Lineage: Eukaryota; Metazoa; Chordata; Actinopteri; Pleuronectiformes; Pleuronectidae. The record is from RefSeq and is a predicted model, not a curated record.